GGGCGCGUAGCUCAGUGGUAGAGCACUACGUUGACAUCGUAGGGGUCACUGGUUCGAACCCAGUCGCGCCCACCA
This 75-nucleotide transfer RNA is filed under the name Paracoccaceae bacterium. Its description in RNAcentral is "Rhodobacteraceae bacterium tRNA-Val". It matches the Rfam family "tRNA". From Rfam's summary of the family: Transfer RNA (tRNA) molecules are approximately 80 nucleotides in length. Lineage: Bacteria; Pseudomonadati; Pseudomonadota; Alphaproteobacteria; Rhodobacterales; Paracoccaceae. The record is from RNAcentral.